RNAcentral lists this non-coding RNA (152 nucleotides) under Vogesella sp. LIG4. RNAcentral's name for it is "Bacterial small subunit ribosomal RNA". It matches the Rfam family "Bacterial small subunit ribosomal RNA", at positions 1 to 152 of the family's 1533-position model. Lineage: Bacteria; Pseudomonadati; Pseudomonadota; Betaproteobacteria; Neisseriales; Chromobacteriaceae. The record is from Rfam by way of RNAcentral.
GAACUAAAGAGUUUGAUCCUGGCUCAGAUUGAACGCUGGCGGCAUGCUUUACACAUGCAAGUCGAACGGUAACAGGGGCUUCGGCCUGCUGACGAGUGGCGAACGGGUGAGUAAUGCGUCGGAACGCACCGAGUAAUGGGGGAUAACGCAGC